AUUGAACGCUGGCGGCAUGCUUUACACAUGCAAGUCGAACGGUAACAGGUUAAGCUGACGAGUGGCGAACGGGUGAGUAAUGCAUCGGAACGUGCCCGAUCGUGGGGGAUAACGCAGCGAAAGCUGCGCUAAUACCGCAUACGAUCUGAGGAUGAAAGCGGGGGACCGUAAGGCCUCGCGCGAUCGGAGCGGCCGAUGUCAGAUUAGGUAGUUGGUGGGGUAAAGGCUCACCAAGCCAACGAUCUGUAGCUGGUCUGAGAGGACGACCAGCCACACUGGGACUGAGACACGGCCCAGACUCCUACGGGAGGCAGCAGUGGGGAAUCUUGGACAAUGGGCGAAAGCCUGAUCCAGCAAUGCCGCGUGCAGGAAGAAGGCCUUCGGGUUGUAAACUGCUUUUGUACGGAGCGAAAAAGCUCUCUCUAAUACAGGGGGCUCAUGACGGUACCGUAAGAAUAAGCACCGGCUAACUACGCGCCAGCCGCCGCCGUAA
Molecule: ribosomal RNA, 493 nt
Filed under: uncultured bacterium
Lineage: Bacteria
Description: partial 16S ribosomal RNA
Rfam family: Bacterial small subunit ribosomal RNA
Source: RNAcentral